CACACCGCCCGUCACACCAUGGGAGUCAGUUGUACCGGAAGUCGGUUAUCCAACCCGCAAGGGGGCAGCCGCCUAUGGUAUGGCUGAUGACUGGGGUG
This 98-nucleotide ribosomal RNA is filed under the name uncultured bacterium. RNAcentral describes it as "partial 16S ribosomal RNA". It matches the Rfam family "Bacterial small subunit ribosomal RNA", at positions 1386 to 1482 of the family's 1533-position model. The record is from RNAcentral.